RNAcentral lists this non-coding RNA (236 nucleotides) under Desulfobacteraceae bacterium. The record is from RNAcentral. Lineage: Bacteria; Pseudomonadati; Thermodesulfobacteriota; Desulfobacteria; Desulfobacterales; Desulfobacteraceae.
GGUGUUUUAUCGCUUAAUAGGGAACCCCGUGAAAAUCGGGGACGGGCCCGCCGCUGUAAUCGGGGACGAACGCCGCUUGAAACCACUGACGUGUUCAGUGCAAAAUGAAAAAUGCAAAGUGCAAAAUGUGAUAACUUUGCACUUUUAACUUUACAUUUUGCACUGUAUCUGUCGGGAAGGCGCGGUCAGUAGGAUGAACUGAGAGUCAGAAGACCUGCCUGAACUUCAUAAGAAAA